RNAcentral lists this ribosomal RNA (492 nucleotides) under Antidesma nienkui. Its description in RNAcentral is "eukaryotic LSU rRNA". The stretch from base 327 to 492 matches the Rfam family "Eukaryotic large subunit ribosomal RNA", at positions 1 to 166 of the family's 3401-position model. The record is from RNAcentral. Lineage: Eukaryota; Viridiplantae; Streptophyta; Magnoliopsida; Malpighiales; Phyllanthaceae.
GGGCGAUACUUUGUGUGAAAUGCAGAAUCCCGUGAACCAUCGAGUUUUUGAACGCAAGUUGCGCCCGAAGCCUUUGGGCCGAGGGCACGUCUGCCUGGGUGUCACACAACGUCGCCCCCCACCCCCGUCCGCCCCAAAGUGGGCGUGGGGCAAAAGAGGGGGCGGAGUAUGGCCUCCCGUCGGCCCUGCCCACGGUUGGCCGAAAUAUUUGUCCCCGGCGUACGGCACUGCGACGAUCGGUGGUUGAACAUGCCCUUAUGAUUCGUCGCGUGCCUCGUCGAGCGGGACGAUCGAGACCCUUGCGCGUCUGCGGACGCCUACUGACGCGACCCCAGGUCAGGCGGGACCACCCGCUGAGUUUAAGCAUAUCAAUAAGCGGAGGAAAAGAAACUUACCAGGAUUCCCUUAGUAACGGCGAGCGAACCGGGAAAAGCCCAGCUUGAGAAUCGGGCGCCCCCGGCGUCCGAAUUGUAGUCUGAAAAAAAGAGACUG